UACGGAGGAUGCGAGCGUUAUCCGGAUUUAUUGGGUUUAAAGGGUGCGUAGGCGGACUGUCAAGUCAGCGGUAAAAUUGAGAGGCUCAACCUCUUCCCGCCGUUGAAACUGGUGGACUUGAGUGGAUGAGAAGUACGCGGAAUGCGUGGUGUAGCGGUGAAAUGCAUAGAUAUCACGCAGAACUCCGAUUGCGAAGGCAGCGUACCGGCAUCCAACUGACGCUGAGGCACGAAAGCGUGGGGAUCAAACAGG
This 252-nucleotide ribosomal RNA is filed under the name uncultured bacterium. RNAcentral's name for it is "partial 16S ribosomal RNA". It matches the Rfam family "Bacterial small subunit ribosomal RNA", at positions 524 to 776 of the family's 1533-position model. The record is from RNAcentral.